UACGUAGGGUCCGAGCGUUUGUCCGGAAUUAUUGGGCGUAAAGGGCUCGUAGGCGGUUUGUCGCGUCGGGAGUGAAAACCUCGGGCUUAACUCGGGGCUUGCUUUCGAUACGGGCAGACUGGAGGUAUGCAGGGGAGAACGGAAUUCCUGGUGUAGCGGUGAAAUGACGCAGAUAUCAGGAGGAACACCGGUGGCGAAGGCGGUUCUCUGGGCAUGACCUGACGGUGAGGAGCGAAAGUGUGGGGAGCGAACAGG
This 255-nucleotide ribosomal RNA is filed under the name uncultured bacterium. Its description in RNAcentral is "partial 16S ribosomal RNA". It matches the Rfam family "Bacterial small subunit ribosomal RNA", at positions 524 to 776 of the family's 1533-position model. The record is from RNAcentral.